UAAGGAAUAUUGGACAAUGGAGGCAACUCUGAUCCAGCCAUGCCGCGUGAAGGAAUAAGGCCCUAUGGGUUGUAAACUUCUUUUAGACGGGACAAAACCCCUUUACGUGUAAAGGGUUGAUGGUACUGUCAGAAUAAGCAUCGGCUAACUUCGUGCCAGCAGCCGCGGUAAUACGAAGGAUGCAAGCGUUAUCCGGAAUUAUUGGGUUUAAAGGGUGCGUAGGCGGACUAAUAAGUCAGUGGUGAAAGCCUGCAGCUUAACUGCAGAAUUGCCAUUGAUACUGUUAGUCUUGAGUACAGUUGAGGUAGGCGGAAUGUGUCAUGUAGCGGUGAAAUGCUUAGAUAUGACACAGAACACCGAUUGCGAAGGCAGCUUGCUAAGCUGUGACUGACGCUGAGGCACGAAAGCGUGGGGAGCAAACA
This 422-nucleotide ribosomal RNA is filed under the name uncultured bacterium. Its description in RNAcentral is "bacterial SSU rRNA". It matches the Rfam family "Bacterial small subunit ribosomal RNA", at positions 355 to 774 of the family's 1533-position model. The record is from RNAcentral.